RNAcentral lists this ribosomal RNA (504 nucleotides) under uncultured archaeon. RNAcentral describes it as "partial 16S ribosomal RNA". The record is from RNAcentral.
CGGGCAUAAUGGCGCCGCCGACCGUGGCCAGAACGGGUCGGGAACAAGGACUUGGAGGAAUGCCAAGUCUUUUCGCUCCCGAGAUACGGGAGCGUGAGCCACAGGGGGAUAGCGUGACAGCACGUUCACAUUUCCAAAGCGCGGACGACGCGGGGCAUCCCGGGCCUGAGCACAGAGUCUCAGGCAGAGGCCCGAGAGUGAGAGUACUGGGCAUGGCUAAUAGCCGUGCCACCCGGCAAUGGGGUGGCACAUGGAUUAGCCGGCGUCGGUGUAGGAUACCGCGGCCUCGUAAAGCGUGUAAGAGGUCAAGGUCCUACUUACACCAUAGGCCUUAAUCGGAGUCAAAGGGCUCCAAUAAGGCCAGGUAUCCCGUUCAAACCGGUGCACAAUGACUCGUCAAACGAUGCCAUUUGCAUGUUGAGCGUACCGAUUUAGCCUGUGGCUAUCGUUACCGGAGGCCGUCCUAGUUGGCCCCCGAUCUCGCCGGCGGUGGGCGCCACCUCG